UACGUAGGGUGCAAGCGUUGCCCGGAUUUAUUGGGCGUAAAGGGCGCGUAGGCGGCUCCGCGCGUCAGGCGUGAAAUCUCCCGGCUUCACUGGGAGGGGACGUGUGAAACGGCGGGGCUGGAGCAAGGUAGGGGGCAGUGGAAUUCCCGGUGUAGUGGUGGAAUGCGUAGAGAUCGGGAGGAACACCAGUGGCGAAGGCGGCUGCCUGGACCUGUGCUGACGCUGAGGCGCGAAAGCGUGGGGAGCGAUCCGG
RNAcentral lists this ribosomal RNA (253 nucleotides) under uncultured prokaryote. RNAcentral describes it as "partial 16S ribosomal RNA". It matches the Rfam family "Bacterial small subunit ribosomal RNA", at positions 524 to 776 of the family's 1533-position model. The record is from RNAcentral.